GGCAACUUGGCCGAGUGGUCUAAGGCGCUGGAAUUAGGUUAAUCACUUAAUCAAUCCAGUCCUCCGGGGCGUGAGUUCGAACCUCACAGUUGUCA
This is a non-coding RNA of Asterophora parasitica, 95 nucleotides long. The record is from the annotation of a GenBank genome assembly. NCBI's taxonomy places the organism in Eukaryota, Fungi, Basidiomycota, Agaricomycetes, Agaricales, Lyophyllaceae.